Molecule: ribosomal RNA, 468 nt
Filed under: uncultured bacterium
Lineage: Bacteria
Description: partial 16S ribosomal RNA
Rfam family: Bacterial small subunit ribosomal RNA
Source: RNAcentral
GACGAACGCUGGCGGCGUGCUUAACACAUGCAAGUCGAACGGAAAGGCCCUGCUUUUGUGGGGUGCUCGAGUGGCGAACGGGUGAGUAACACGUGAGUAACCUGCCCUUGACUUUGGGAUAACUUCAGGAAACUGGUGCUAAUACCGGAUAGGAGCUCCUGCUGCAUGGUGGGGGUUGGAAAGUUUCGGCGGUUGGGGAUGGACUCGCGGCUUAUCAGCUUGUUGGUGGGGUAGUGGCUUACCAAGGCUUUGACGGGUAGCCGGCCUGAGAGGGUGACCGGCCACAUUGGGACUGAGAUACGGCCCAGACUCCUACGGGAGGCAGCAGUGGGGAAUAUUGCACAAUGGGGCGAAGCCUGAUGCAGCAACGCCGCGUGCGGGAUGACGGCCUUCGGGUUGUAAACCGCUUUCGCCUGUGACGAAGCGUGAGUGACGGUAAUGGGUAAAGAAGCACCGGCUAACUACGUG